UGAUGUAGCUCAGUAGGUAGAGCGCAUCCUUGGUAAGGAUGAGGUCGCCGGUUCGACUCCGGCCAUCA
This 68-nucleotide transfer RNA is filed under the name bovine gut metagenome. It matches the Rfam family "tRNA". Rfam says of the family: Transfer RNA (tRNA) molecules are approximately 80 nucleotides in length. The record is from RNAcentral.